This 73-nucleotide transfer RNA is filed under the name Bacteriophage sp. RNAcentral describes it as "tRNA-Thr". It matches the Rfam family "tRNA". From Rfam's summary of the family: Transfer RNA (tRNA) molecules are approximately 80 nucleotides in length. Their secondary structure includes four short double-helical elements and three loops (D, anti-codon, and T loops). RNAcentral also lists the same sequence under 1 other name. The record is from RNAcentral.
GCUGUCGUAGCUCAAAUGGCAGAGCAGCCGUCUUGUAAUCGGCAGGUUGAGGGUUCAAGUCCCUCCGGCAGCU